Long non-coding RNA from Polyodon spathula (Mississippi paddlefish), 1547 nucleotides. RefSeq lists it as uncharacterized. The transcript has 2 exons. The record is from RefSeq and is a predicted model, not a curated record. Lineage: Eukaryota; Metazoa; Chordata; Actinopteri; Acipenseriformes; Polyodontidae.
GGCUGGGAGAGAGGGGAGGGGAGUGAGGGGGUAAUAGCAAGGGCAGUGAGAGACAGCAGGAAGGUUUGACUGGGGGGCUGAACUGCAAGUUGAGCUCAGAGUCGCUGUGUUUGUGCUUCUUGAUACAGUCCUAUCGGGAUUUUUGAGGAGUGUUCACUAUAGACAGGAGGUCCUGUUUAAAUACAGCGGCGCUAUAGACAGGAGGUCCUGUUUAAAUACAGCGGCGCUAUAGACAGGAGGCCCUGUUUAAAUACAGCGGCGCUAUAGACAGGAGGCCCUGUUUAAAUACAGCUGCGCCAUAAAUCUGAGAUUGAAUCCAGAGGACAAGUCUGCUUCUCUGCCUUACUGAGAUCAAACGUAGAAUCUGUUGAGAGGAGAGAGGAGAGGGCAGAGGGAAGAGGGGAGAAUCAGUCUGGAUACAAAUGAACCGAGAAGCACGAACACCGAGCUGUACCAUCCAUACCAUUCUUGUAUGUAUAUAUUUAUUUAUGUUAGUAUUGUGUGUGACGGCACAGUCUCUUGUAUGUGUUUGUUAGUAUUGUGUGUGUGUGUGUGUGUCUUGUUUUAAUACCAGGUUUACGUGCCUCAGUGUAACCCUGUCCUCCUUCACAGUAAAAUGUAUCAGAUGGACACUGUCUGUGUGAAUUGUAGAUCUGUAUGUUGCUGCUGCUAUGCACUGGAGGCUUGGAUUUUAAGCUAAGAGCAAGGAAGAGGGUUUGUAAAUGAUUGUAUUUGUUAUUUUAAACCACUUGUGCCUGCCUCACUGCUGCCUCUGUGUGUGUGUAUGCCCCCCCCCCCCCCAAUUCCUUUUUAAAAUCAAUUCCCAUUUCCUUAACCUUUUAAUCAAUUCCAGCACAUCAUUGUUCAAAGAUUGCAAUCGGCAAGCUUCACACAACAGCGGCGACUCGUGACUCUCUGGAGCUCGCUGCCUGUCUGCCUGUCUGCCUGUCUGUCUGUUUGUUUGUCAGUCGAUUUUUAAAAUCGGUUUCAAAUGAAAGCAGCUGCGCGAUCGCCAGUUACCACGACCUCUAAAAACAUCAACUUCCACUGGAGAAUUCAUUUUAAAAAAGGAAUGGGAUUCUUAAAGCAGGAAGCGACCCGGCACCCGCCACCCUGCGCAGACCCCGAUAAAGACCCCAGCCGCCCCCCCGAACACGCAACAGACGUGCCAUGGGAUUCAGCGCCUGUCUGGAGACGAGGAAGGACUGUUACAAACGGACACGCGUGUGUGUGUUUAUAUAGAGAGCACUUUCUGUCUUGGUUUGCAGUCUGGUACAGCGUGUAUUCCACUACUCAGAGCGGCUGUGCUGUUGUUGUUGUUAUUAUUAUUAUUAGUAGUAGUGGUAUUGCUUGCAGUGUUAAGUCAUUGUGUCUGAAUGAGUUGUUGCAGUCCUCCAUGGUCCUCCUCAUGUGACCCGUCUUCUCUGUGAAAUUGCACAGGUUUAUAUAUUUAUUUAUUUAUUGAUUGAUUUCUUGAUUGAUUUUCCUGUAGUUUUUUUUGGCUCAUUUCUCCCUCCAUACUUCAAUAAACACCACUCCUGUUUUUA